Molecule: small RNA, 89 nt
Filed under: Flavobacterium micromati
Lineage: Bacteria; Pseudomonadati; Bacteroidota; Flavobacteriia; Flavobacteriales; Flavobacteriaceae
Description: Flavo-1 RNA
Rfam family: Flavo-1 RNA
Source: Rfam by way of RNAcentral
UUUGAGUCGCGUGAGGGAUAGUAGUGGAGCUCUUUUUAUGGCAGAGGAACGAAGUCAUAAAAAAGCGGGAACGAAUAGCCCGGCCCGCA